GUACUUCGAAGCAUGUCAACCGCUGUUUAAAAUCCAUUUUUAUGCCAUUUUUCUCGUAAAAAAGCGAUAAUAUUCCGACCGGGAAUCUCCUUUUAGUUAAACAGAGGAAAGUAAACAAAGCUUUCGGUCGACGCGGGCACGAUCCUGAGUCUCACAGUACUGUAACCAGCCACUACCCAAACGCGCUACUUUUUUUCAGCCAGAGCCUGCAAAGCCACGAUUCAGCUUUUUACCGCCUUCUGAGACCCUAUGGCAGCCGUAGGAAGUGUCACGGAACAGCUAAGAUCCUCACUCUUCAAUAAACAGAGACAAGAAGAACGACACCUUGUCAGACAGGCCACUUCCUGCAUGAAACCGUGUCAGGUUUUUGCCUGCCAAAUGAGUUCUGUUGUACUCACAGACACAAUUCAAACAGUUUUAGAAACUUUAGGGUGUUUUCUAUCCAUAUGUAAUAAGUAUAUGCAUAUUCUAGUUACUGGGUAGGAGUGGUAACCAGAUUAAAUCGGGUACGUUUUUUAUCCAGCCGUGAAAAUACUGCCCCCUAGCCAUAACAGGAUAACAUAAUGUCCUAGGAGUGUCAUCUGAUGAAGAUCAUCAAAGGACCUGAGCCCUAGGACCAUGCCUCAGGACUACCUGGCAUGAUGACUCCUUGUUGUCCCCAGUCCACCUGGCCGUGCUGCUGCUCCAGUUUCAACUGUUCUGCCUGCGGCUAUGGAACCCUGACCUGUUCACUAACCACCCACCACAAGAAGACCAAGCAGCGUGGUAUGGAGGAACAGAGGGUUAUGGACUCCUGGACUUGGGAGAUGAUUUUGGACGGAAAGGGACCCUGGACAACGCCUGGGGAGUAUCGCCGCCCGCAGUGGGAGAUCGAGGCAGCGAAGGCGGAACGGCGAUACUGGGAGGAACAGGGUAUGAAGCCUUUCCUGAAGGAGCUGCUGGACCCAACAAAACGCCAUGUCUUUGACAGUCUAACCAGAUCAGAGGCGGAGCUAACCCAGACCCAUACACACUGUCUCA
RNAcentral lists this long non-coding RNA (1020 nucleotides) under Salmo salar (Atlantic salmon). RNAcentral describes it as "lncRNA (ENSSSAG00000118724.1)". The record is from RNAcentral. Lineage: Eukaryota; Metazoa; Chordata; Actinopteri; Salmoniformes; Salmonidae.